UGCAGUCGAGCGAGAAAGCACCUUCGGGUGUGAGUACAGCGGCGAAAGGGAGAGUAACGCGUAGAUACGCACCUUUGGGUUCGGAAUAGCCAUGGGAAACCGUGGGUAAUGCCGGAUAAUGUCCCCGGACCAAAGAUUUAUCGCCCAAAGAGCGGUCUGCGUCCUAUUAGUUUGUUGGUGGGGUAAUGGCCUACCAAGACUAAGAUGGGUAGCGGGCGUGAGAGCGUGACCCGUCUCACUGGGACUGAGACACUGCCCAGACACCUACGGGUGGCUGCAGUCGAGAAUCUUCCGCAAUGGACGAAAGUCUGACGGAGCGACGCCGCGUGCGGGAUGAAGGCCUUCGGGUUGUAAACCGCUGUCAGAGGGAAGGAAAUUUUGACCGAACCUCAGAGGAAGUCCGGGCUAAGUUCGUGCCAGCAGCCGCGGUAAUACGAACCGGACGAACGUUAUUCGGAAUCACUGGGCUUAAAGAGUCCGUAGGCGGCUUGGAAGGUGGAGUGUGAAAUCCUACAGCUCAACUGUAGAACUGCGCUCCAAACCAUCAAGCUCGAGGAAGUCAGGGGUGAGCGGAACAAAUGGUGGAGCGGUGAAAUGCGUUGAUAUCAUUUGGAACACCGGUGGCGAAGGCGGCUCACUGGGACUUUUCUGACGCUGAGGGACGAAAGCUAGGGGAGCGAACGGGAUUAGAUACCCCGGUAGUCCUAGCUGUAAACGAUGAGCACUAGUUCGAGGAGACCUCCACAUCUUCUCGGACGU
RNAcentral lists this ribosomal RNA (759 nucleotides) under uncultured marine bacterium. RNAcentral describes it as "bacterial SSU rRNA". It matches the Rfam family "Bacterial small subunit ribosomal RNA", at positions 56 to 849 of the family's 1533-position model. The record is from RNAcentral.